AACGAACGCUGGCGGCAUGCUUAACACAUGCAAGUCGAACGCGGUUCUUCGGGACCGAGUGGCGCACGGGUGAGUAGCGCGUGGGAACCUGCCCUCUUGUGGGGGAGUAACCGAGGGAAACCGUCGGCUAAUACCGCAUAAGCCGGAGAGAUCCGGGAAAGAUUUAUCGCGAGAGGAGGGGCCCGCGUCGGAUUAGCUUGUUGGUGGGGUAACGGCCUACCAAGGCGAUGAUCCGUAGCUGGUCUGAGAGGAUGAUCAGCCACACUGGGAC
Molecule: ribosomal RNA, 271 nt
Filed under: uncultured bacterium
Lineage: Bacteria
Description: partial 16S ribosomal RNA
Rfam family: Bacterial small subunit ribosomal RNA
Source: RNAcentral